GUGGUAAGAUAAAUUAUCGGUUCCGAUGGGGAGCAGCCAUCAGACGCAAGGGGGAAAGAGUAGUGCAAAUCUACCGCUGUCCCGCAACUGUAAAGAGAAAUACUAUUCUCCAAGUCAGAAUGCCCGCCGAAAAUCAACCCGUUAC
This 145-nucleotide non-coding RNA is filed under the name Limnothrix rosea. Lineage: Bacteria; Bacillati; Cyanobacteriota; Cyanophyceae; Pseudanabaenales; Pseudanabaenaceae. The record is from RNAcentral. RNAcentral also lists the same sequence under 1 other name.